RNAcentral lists this ribosomal RNA (522 nucleotides) under uncultured bacterium. RNAcentral's name for it is "bacterial SSU rRNA". It matches the Rfam family "Bacterial small subunit ribosomal RNA", at positions 8 to 525 of the family's 1533-position model. The record is from RNAcentral.
AGGGUUUGAUCCUGGCUCAGAUUGAACGCUGGCGGAAUGCUUUACACAUGCAAGUCGAACGGCAGCACGGACUUCGGUCUGGUGGCGAGUGGCGAACGGGUGAGUAAUAUAUCGGAACGUAUCCAAUAAUGGGGGAUAACUAAUCGAAAGGUUGGCUAAUACCGCAUACGCCCUACGGGGGAAAGCUGGGGACCUUCGGGCCUGGCGUUAAUGGAGCGGCCGAUAUCUGAUUAGCUAGUUGGUGGGGUAAAGGCCCACCAAGGCGACGAUCAGUAGCUGGUCUGAGAGGACGACCAGCCACACUGGAACUGAGACACGGUCCAGACUCCUACGGGAGGCAGCAGUGGGGAAUUUUGGACAAUGGGCGAAAGCCUGAUCCAGCCAUUCCGCGUGAGUGAAGAAGGCCUUCGGGUUGUAAAGCUCUUUCGCAAGGGAAGAAAGAUUACCCUCUAACAUAGAGUGAUUAUGACGGUACCUUGAUAAGAAGCACCGGCUAACUACGUGCCAGCAGCCGCGGUAAUA